Molecule: ribosomal RNA, 256 nt
Filed under: uncultured bacterium
Lineage: Bacteria
Description: partial 16S ribosomal RNA
Rfam family: Bacterial small subunit ribosomal RNA
Source: RNAcentral
UACGUAGGGUGCGAGCGUUGUCCGGAAUUAUUUGGGCGUAAGAGCUCGUAGGCGGUUUGUCACGUCUGCUGUGAAAUCCCGAGGCUCAACCUCGGGCCUGCAGUGGGUACGGGGCAGACUGGAGUGCGGUAGGGGAGAAUGGAAUUCCUGGUGUAGCGGUGGAAUGCGCAGAUAUCAGGAGGAACACCGGUGGCGAAGGCGGGUCGUCUGGGCCGAUACUGACGCUGAGGAGCGAAAGCGUGGGGGAGCGAACAGG